This is a long non-coding RNA of Populus nigra (black poplar), 1685 nucleotides long. RefSeq lists it as uncharacterized. The record is from RefSeq and is a predicted model, not a curated record. The transcript has 3 exons. Lineage: Eukaryota; Viridiplantae; Streptophyta; Magnoliopsida; Malpighiales; Salicaceae.
AGCUAAUUUAGGCUGAGAGAAAAAAAAAGCCGUUGGAAUAUCAAACUUCUCAGCUCAACGAUUCACCUUAAAAAAUCACAGCAAAAAUAUGUUUCAAUCAUUUCUUCACCUAGCAGAUCCCUCCUUUCUCUCAAAAAAAAAUUUGAGAUCUUUAUCUCCUGCGACUAUUCUCUCCUCUAUUGUAAAAAAUAAUUUCCCUUUUUUUUUUCUACCCAAUACGCCUUUCCAAGCUCUUGAUCUUGUAAAUCUGAUUAAUAAAAAGAUAUUUUUUUUCAUUUGUUUGUUGCUUUCACCGUGAACAAUUUUGUAUAUCUUUUGUGCAUGUCUUCUUCCCAAAUAGCACCAAAAUUAAUAUAUGAUCUGAAAUCUCCUUGUUUUGUAGUUGCAAAAAAAAAAAAAAAAUGAAGUCCAUUUUCUUUUUAUUGCUUCUCACAAUUUCGUUUUUAUUGUUGAUGAAUUUAUUUGCAGAUCUGAGUUGGUGUUAGAGGCAAAAGAACAAGGAGACCUUGAGAAAUUAUUUGGGAACAAAAAGAGAAGGUGCUGUAAAAUUGAGAAUGGAAGGUCCUGAAACUAUGGAAAAAGUUGCUUGGAAUAAAGAAAUGUUGCAUGUUUUUUGUGACCUUUGCAUCAAGGCCAUCGACAUGGGAAUGAGACAGAAUACUCAUUUCGACAAAGAUGGUUGAAAAUAUUUGUUGACAGCUUUCAAAGAACAAACUGGUCAUGCAUUCACCAAGACACAACUGAAGAACAAAUGGGAUGGCUGCAAAAAAGGAUUGGAGGAUUUAGACGAAGCUCAUUUCCGAAACUAGUGUGGGCUGGAGUAAUGAAUUAGAAACAAUUUCUGCAAGUGAUGAGUGGUGGAAAGAAAAAAUUCAGGAAAUAAGAGGAUCAAAAAAGUUCAGGCAAACUGGUAUCGAACCAUCUUUACGUAUAAAGUUCGACAGAAUGUUCUCGAACAUUAUUGCUACUGGAGAGUAUGCAUGGGCACCAUCGUCUGGAGUCCUCUGUGAUGAUAAUGUUGGUGUUGAUGAGGAUCCAAAUACCAAUGAGGAACAACCUGAUUUAGAAGAAGGAAGCAGUAAUUCAGAAGAGGAUGGAAUUCUAAAUUUCACCGUUGAUGUUUGCAACAUGGUUAGAGGGGUUAAUUUGUCCAGCAUUAGCAACACACUCAGCAGUGGGAAGAGAAAAGAAAGAGAACAUUUUGAGGUUCAAGAUUGGAAAAAAAAAAGUUUUGGAAUUGGGUUGCAACUAUUGUCACGAUGGGAUCAAAUGGUUGACAACAUGUCAAAUAAUAGUGAUUCAACAUCUAUCAGUAGAGAUAGGAAAGGGUGUAGUAUUCCUGAUGUUAUGACCGAGCUUCACUCAAUUGAAUGAGUUCAUAUCGGUGAUGAUUUUAAUGGGUUUGCUACUAAGUUUUUAGGUUUGAGAAGGAAUAGAGAAAUGUGGUCAACUAUGGGUAAUCUUGAAAACAAGAUGAAAUGGUUGCAGAGAAUGUAUACAUGACAUAAAACACCUUAAACUGAGAGGUAUAUAUAGAUCCCAAAUACAUGCUUUCAUUUAUUUAAAUUUACAGAUAUCUCAAGAUGAUAUGGAGUAAUAAAUUCAUUUAUGUUUGUUCGGGACCCUAUUUGUAAUUUUAACAGUUGACAUUAUAAGGAGACAAUGUUUGCAAUCAGUUAGGUUAU